GAUGAACGCUGGCGGCGUGCCUAAUACAUGCAAGUCGAGCGAACAGACGAGGAGCUUGCUCCUCUGACGUUAGCGGCGGACGGGUGAGUAACACGUGGAUAACCUACCUAUAAGACUGGGAUAACUUCGGGAAACCGGAGCUAAUACCGGAUAAUAUUUUGAACCGCAUGGUUCAAAAGUGAAAGACGGUUUUGCUGUCACUUAUAGAUGGAUCCGGGCUGCAUUAGCUAGUUGGUAAGGUAACGGCUUACCAAGGCAACGAUGCAUAGCCGACCUGAGAGGGUGUCCGGCAAAACGGGAACGAAGACACGGCCCAAACCCCAAGGGAAGGAAGCAGAAGGAAUCCUUCCGCAAGGGGCGAAGGCCUGACGGAGCAACGCGGGGGGGGUGAUGAGGGCCUUCGGAUCGUAAAACUCUGUUAUUAGGGAAGAACAAAUGUGUAAGUAACGAUGCACGUCUGGACGGUACCAAAUAAGAAAGCCACGGCAACCUACGU
This 496-nucleotide ribosomal RNA is filed under the name uncultured bacterium. RNAcentral's name for it is "partial 16S ribosomal RNA". It matches the Rfam family "Bacterial small subunit ribosomal RNA", at positions 28 to 506 of the family's 1533-position model. The record is from RNAcentral.